UUAAGUUAUUAAGGGCGCACGGUGGAUGCCUUGGCACUAGAAGCCGAUGAAGGACGUUACUAACGACGAUAUGCUUUGGGGAGCUGUAAGUAAGCUUUGAUCCAGAGAUUUCCGAAUGGGGAAACCCAGCAUGAGUUAUGUCAUGUUAUCGAUAUGUGAAUACAUAGCAUAUCAGAAGGCACACCCGGAGAACUGAAACAUCUUAGUACCCGGAGGAAGAGAAAGAAAAUUCGAUUCCCUUAGUAGCGGCGAGCGAAACGGGAAGAGCCCAAACCAACAAGCUUGCUUGUUGGGGUUGUAGGACACUCUAUACGGAGUUACAAAGGACGACAUUAGACGAAUCAUCUGGAAAGAUGAAUCAAAGAAGGUAAUAAUCCUGUAGUCGAAAAUGUUGUCUCUCUUGAGUGGAUCCUGAGUACGACGGAGCACGUGAAAUUCCGUCGGAAUCUGGGAGGACCAUCUCCUAAGGCUAAAUACUCUCUAGUGACCGAUAGUGAACCAGUACCGUGAGGGAAAGGUGAAAAGCACCCCGGAAGGGGAGUGAAAUAGAACCUGAAACCGUGUGCUUACAAGUAGUCAGAGCCCGUUAAUGGGUGAUGGCGUGCCUUUUGUAGAAUGAACCGGCGAGUUACGAUUUGAUGCAAGGUUAAGCAGUAAAUGUGGAGCCGUAGCGAAAGCGAGUCUGAAUAGGGCGUUUAGUAUUUGGUCGUAGACCCGAAACCAGGUGAUCUACCCUUGGUCAGGUUGAAGUUCAGGUAACACUGAAUGGAGGACCGAACCGACUUACGUUGAAAAGUGAGCGGAUGAACUGAGGGUAGCGGAGAAAUUCCAAUCGAACCUGGAGAUAGCUGGUUCUCUCCGAAAUAGCUUUAGGGCUAGCCUCAAGUGAUGAUUAUUGGAGGUAGAGCACUGUUUGGACGAGGGGCCCCUCUCGGGUUACCGAAUUCAGACAAACUCCGAAUGCCAAUUAAUUUAACUUGGGAGUCAGAACAUGGGUGAUAAGGUCCGUGUUCGAAAGGGAAACAGCCCAGACCACCAGCUAAGGUCCCAAAAUAUAUGUUAAGUGGAAAAGGAUGUGGCGUUGCCCAGACAACUAGGAUGUUGGCUUAGAAGCAGCCAUCAUUUAAAGAGUGCGUAAUAGCUCACUAGUCGAGUGACACUGCGCCGAAAAUGUACCGGGGCUAAACAUAUUACCGAAGCUGUGGAUUGUCCUUUGGACAAUGGUAGGAGAGCGUUUUAAGGGCGUUGAAGCAUGAUCGUAAGGACAUGUGGAGCGCUUAGAAGUGAGAAUGCCGGUGUGAGUAGCGAAAGACGGGUGAGAAUCCCGUCCACCGAUUGACUAAGGUUUCCAGAGGAAGGCUCGUCCGCUCUGGGUUAGUCGGGUCCUAAGCUGAGGCCGACAGGCGUAGGCGAUGGAUAACAGGUUGAUAUUCCUGUACCACCUAUAAUCGUUUUAAUCGAUGGGGGGACGCAGUAGGAUAGGCGAAGCGUGCGAUUGGAUUGCACGUCUAAGCAGUAAGGCUGAGUAUUAGGCAAAUCCGGUACUCGUUAAGGCUGAGCUGUGAUGGGGAGAAGACAUUGUGUCUUCGAGUCGUUGAUUUCACACUGCCGAGAAAAGCCUCUAGAUAGAAAAUAGGUGCCCGUACCGCAAACCGACACAGGUAGUCAAGAUGAGAAUUCUAAGGUGAGCGAGCGAACUCUCGUUAAGGAACUCGGCAAAAUGACCCCGUAACUUCGGGAGAAGGGGUGCUCUUUAGGGUUAACGCUCAGAAGAGCCGCAGUGAAUAGGCCCAAGCGACUGUUUAUCAAAAACACAGGUCUCUGCUAAACCGUAAGGUGAUGUAUAGGGGCUGACGCCUGCCCGGUGCUGGAAGGUUAAGAGGAGUGGUUAGCUUCUGCGAAGCUACGAAUCGAAGCCCCAGUAAACGGCGGCCGUAACUAUAACGGUCCUAAGGUAGCGAAAUUCCUUGUCGGGUAAGUUCCGACCCGCACGAAAGGCGUAACGAUUUGGGCACUGUCUCAACGAGAGACUCGGUGAAAUCAUAGUACCUGUGAAGAUGCAGGUUACCCGCGACAGGACGGAAAGACCCCGUGGAGCUUUACUGUAGCCUGAUAUUGAAAUUCGGCACAGCUUGUACAGGAUAGGUAGGAGCCUUUGAAACGUGAGCGCUAGCUUACGUGGAGGCGCUGGUGGGAUACUACCCUAGCUGUGUUGGCUUUCUAACCCGCACCACUUAUCGUGGUGGGAGACAGUGUCAGGCGGGCAGUUUGACUGGGGCGGUCGCCUCCUAAAAGGUAACGGAGGCGCUCAAAGGUUCCCUCAGAAUGGUUGGAAAUCAUUCAUAGAGUGUAAAGGCAUAAGGGAGCUUGACUGCGAGACCUACAAGUCGAGCAGGGUCGAAAGACGGACUUAGUGAUCCGGUGGUUCCGCAUGGAAGGGCCAUCGCUCAACGGAUAAAAGCUACCCCGGGGAUAACAGGCUUAUCUCCCCCAAGAGUUCACAUCGACGGGGAGGUUUGGCACCUCGAUGUCGGCUCAUCGCAUCCUGGGGCUGUAGUCGGUCCCAAGGGUUGGGCUGUUCGCCCAUUAAAGCGGUACGCGAGCUGGGUUCAGAACGUCGUGAGACAGUUCGGUCCCUAUCCGUCGUGGGCGUAGGAAAUUUGAGAGGAGCUGUCCUUAGUACGAGAGGACCGGGAUGGACAUACCUCUGGUGUACCAGUUGUCGUGCCAACGGCAUAGCUGGGUAGCUAUGUGUGGACGGGAUAAGUGCUGAAAGCAUCUAAGCAUGAAGCCCCCCUCAAGAUGAGAUUUCCCAACUUCGGUUAUAAGAUCCCUCAAAGAUGAUGAGGUUAAUAGGUUCGAGGUGGAAGCAUGGUGACAUGUGGAGCUGACGAAUACUAAUCGAUCGAAGACUUAAUCAA
This 2921-nucleotide ribosomal RNA is filed under the name Staphylococcus aureus DAR3918. RNAcentral's name for it is "bacterial LSU rRNA". It matches the Rfam family "Bacterial large subunit ribosomal RNA". Lineage: Bacteria; Bacillati; Bacillota; Bacilli; Caryophanales; Staphylococcaceae. The record is from RNAcentral.